CCGCUACCCUAGGGGUUUCCUUCUUGCUGGGGCGACCUCCGAACUCAGUCGAACAAAAAUAGUCGAGUGGAGGCAGAAGACCGAGAGGACUUUCACCGAUUCAAGGAUAUAUUGGUGCCGAAGUAGAGAGAGCUCGUCACCGAGCAAGCUCUCUAUGACGCCGGCCUAAGUUUGGUUCCUCGCUUAGGUACAAUUCGGUCUGUCGGUCGUCUUUUGACUUUUUCAUCCAUCUUCGGACUUGUGCUAAUCUUUCGUUGAAAUUGCAGGUAUGUCGCCAAGAGUAAGGCUAACAGAUGUCGACAUUCGACAGUAAGCG
RNAcentral lists this long non-coding RNA (316 nucleotides) under Elaeis guineensis (African oil palm). RNAcentral's name for it is "long non-coding RNA (EGUI_LNC026673)". Lineage: Eukaryota; Viridiplantae; Streptophyta; Magnoliopsida; Arecales; Arecaceae. The record is from RNAcentral.